Molecule: ribosomal RNA, 241 nt
Filed under: uncultured bacterium
Lineage: Bacteria
Description: partial 16S ribosomal RNA
Rfam family: Bacterial small subunit ribosomal RNA
Source: RNAcentral
UACGUAGGGUGCGAGCGUUAAUCGGAAUUACUGGGCGUAAAGCGUGCGCAGGCGGUUUUGUAAGCCAGAUGUGAAAGCCCCGGGCUUAACCUGGGAAUGGCAUUUGGGACUGCAAGGCUUGAGUGCGGCAGAGGAGACUGGAAUUCCUGGUGUAGCAGUGAAAUGCGUAGAUAUCAGGAGGAAUACCGAUGCGAAGGCAGGUCUCUGGGACUGACACUGACGCUCAUGCACGAAGCGUGGG